Molecule: ribosomal RNA, 342 nt
Filed under: Praeacanthonchus sp. PB-2006
Lineage: Eukaryota; Metazoa; Nematoda; Chromadorea; Chromadorida; Cyatholaimidae
Description: SSU rRNA
Rfam family: Eukaryotic small subunit ribosomal RNA
Source: RNAcentral
CGCGAAUGGCUCAUUACAACAGCCAUAGUUUAUUGGAUCUUCUCUCUACUUGGAUACCUGUGGUAAUUCUAGAGCUAAUACACGCACGAAAGCCUCGACUUCGGGAGGGGCGCAUUUAUUAGAACAAAACCAAUCGGGCUUGCCCGUCGUUUGGUGAAUCUGAAUAACUCAGUUGAUCGCACAGUCCUCGAACUGGCGACGUAUCUUUCAAGUGUCUGCCUUAUCAACUUUCGAUGGUAGUUUACAUGACUACCAUGGUUGUAACGGGUAACGGAGAAUAAGGGUUCGACUCCGGAGAGGGAGCCUGAGAAACGGCUACCACAUCCAAGGAAGGCAGCAGGC